CCUACGGGUGGCAGCAGUGAGGAAUAUUGGUCAAUGGGCGAGAGCCUGAACCAGCCAAGUAGCGUGCAGGAAGACGGCCCUAUGGGUUGUAAACUGCUUUUAUGCGGGGAUAAAGUGAGGGACGUGUCCUUCAUUGCAGGUACCGCAUGAAUAAGGACCGGCUAAUUCCGUGCCAGCAGCCGCGGUAAUACGGAAGGUCCGGGCGUUAUCCGGAUUUAUUGGGUUUAAAGGGAGCGUAGGCCGUGGAUUAAGCGUGUUGUGAAAUGCAGGUGCUCAACGUCUGCACUGCAGCGCGAACUGGUCCACUUGAGUGUGCACAACGCAGGCGGAAUUCGUCGUGUAGCGGUGAAAUGCUUAGAUAUGACGAAGAACUCCGAUUGCGAAGGCAGCUUGCGGGAGCACAACUGACGCUGAAGCUCGAAAGUGCGGGUAUCGAACAGGAUUAGAUACCCGAGUAGUC
This 460-nucleotide ribosomal RNA is filed under the name uncultured Prevotella sp. Its description in RNAcentral is "bacterial SSU rRNA". It matches the Rfam family "Bacterial small subunit ribosomal RNA", at positions 338 to 795 of the family's 1533-position model. The record is from RNAcentral. Lineage: Bacteria; Pseudomonadati; Bacteroidota; Bacteroidia; Bacteroidales; Prevotellaceae.